RNAcentral lists this ribosomal RNA (269 nucleotides) under uncultured prokaryote. RNAcentral describes it as "partial 16S ribosomal RNA". It matches the Rfam family "Bacterial small subunit ribosomal RNA", at positions 524 to 792 of the family's 1533-position model. The record is from RNAcentral.
UACGUAGGGGCAAGCGUUAUCCGGAUUUAUUGGGUUUAAAGGGUGCGUAGGCGGGACUGUAAGUCAGGGGUGAAAUACUGCAGCUUAACUGUAGCAUUGCCUUUGAAACUGCCGUUCUUGAGUACAGUUGAGGUAGGCGGAAUGUGGUGUGUAGCGGUGAAAUGCAUAGAUAUACCACAGAACGCCGAUUGCGAAGGCAGCUUACUAAGCUGUUACUGACGCUGAGGCACGAAAGCGUGGGGAUCAAACAGGAUUAGAUACCCCCGGUA